RNAcentral lists this long non-coding RNA (7022 nucleotides) under Sus scrofa (pig). RNAcentral describes it as "lncRNA (ENSSSCG00050025010.1)". The record is from RNAcentral. Lineage: Eukaryota; Metazoa; Chordata; Mammalia; Artiodactyla; Suidae.
AGGGCCACACCAUGGCAUAUGGAGGUUCCCAGGCCAGGGAUCAAACUGGAGCUACAGCUGCUGGCUUACACCACAGUCGCAGCAAUGCCAGAUCUGAGUCAUAUCUGCAACCUACACCACAGCUCACAGCAAUGCUGGAUCCUUACCCACUGAGCGAGGCAAAGGAUCGUAACUGCAACCUCAUGGUUCCUAGUUGGAUUCUUUUCCUUUGCACCAUGAUGGGAAUUCCCUCUCUUUCUUCUUUUUAUUCUGAUGGGAGAACCAGAGUCAAGGACUAUCCAUUCCACCCUUGCCAUGGACAAAGAACCUUCCCUUUCCAGGGGCCACCAAGAGGCUCUAGGCUCCUCUUGAGACACCCAAGGUCCAGCACUGUGAGGGCCUUGUUCUUUCAGGGUUUGUUCUCUGCAUUUUCAAAGGGAGGUUCCCAAACAGGGAUUUCUGGGCACCCGGGGUGGGGGUGGGGGGUUCUCCUGCCUUUUGGUUUUCCUAGGGCCCAAAUAAACAUGGGAAGGUCACUUAACUCCUCUGUGCCUAUUUCCUCAUCUGACAAGGGGAUUUUAAUAUGACCUGCCUUGUCUUCCUGGUUCUUACAAAGAUUAAACACAAUGACAAGUAUGAAAAUGCCAUAUAAACUGGAAUUUGCUUCAUGAAUGUCAGGUGGCCCUUUCAGUGAACCCUAACCCAAGGCUGUGCUUUGUGAUUGCUCUAUUUCUCCCUAUUGGGAAAUAAGUGCAUGGGAAGGGGCAGCAUGGACUUCAUUCAAUGAGGAAGUUAUUCUCCUUAGGUCCCACUGUAAUUGGGAAGUGUUCUGGAGCAGAAGUCAGGAAAUCUGAAUUCGAGUCCCAGCUUCCUCAUCACCAAACCAUCUUAGCAAGUCCUUUCUCUGGCUUGUAUCAGUGGGAGGGGUGUCAGAUGACAACAUAGGCUCCUCCUGGCUCCAGUUUUGAGAAUGUUAUUGAAAUCCUUACCUUUACAGCCAGAGUUAUAACCAGGUUCCCACUGUAGAGUCUUGACUUAAAAAAGAAAGAAAAGAAAGGAUAAAGCUCUGUUGCCAACAUCACCCUGAUACUUAAAUCAUACAAAAAUACUAUAAACAAAGAAAGUUACAGGCUAAAUCACUGAUGAACAUAGAUGCAAAAAUCCUCAACAAAAUACUAGCAAACUGAAUCCAGCAAUACAUUAAAGGGAUCAUACACCAUGAUCAAGAGGGAUUUAUCCCAGUGAUGCAAGGAUUUUUCAGUAUGUCAGUGUGAUAUACCACAUUAACAAAUUGGAGGAUAAAAAGUAUAUGAUCAUCUCAAUAGGUGCAGAAAAAGCUUUUGACAAAAUUUAACCUCAUUUAUGAUAAAAAAAAAAACCUUCCAGAAAGUGAGCAGAGGGAACCUACGUCAACAUAAUAAAGGCCAUAUAUGACAAACCCAUAGCUAACAUCAUUGUCAAUGGUGAAAACCUGAAAGAAUUUCCUCUAAGAUUGGAAACAAGAUGAGGAUAUUCACUCUUACCAUUUUUAUUCAACAGAGUUUUGGAAGUCCUAGCCAUGAAAAUCAGAGAAGAAAAAGAAAUAAAAGGAGUUCAAACUGGAAAAGAAGUAAAACAGUCAUUGUUUGCAGAUAUGAUACUAUACCUAGCAAAUCCUAAAGAUGCUACCAGAAAACUACUAGAGCUCAUCAAUGAAUUCAGUAGGGUUGUAUAAUACAAAAUUAAUACACAGAAAUCUCUUGCAUUCCUAUACACCAACAAUGAAAGAUCAGAAAGAGAAAUUAAGGAAACAAUCCCAGGAGUUCCCGUCAUGGCUCAGGGGAAACGAAUCGGACUAGCAUCCAUGAGGAUGCAGGUUCGAGCCCUGGCUCUGCUCAGUAGGUUAAGGAUCCAGAAUUGCCACGAACUGUAGGUCGCAGACAUGGCUUGGAUCUGAUGUUGCUGUGGCUAUGGUGUAGGCUAGCAGCUACAGCUCUGAUUCGACCCCUAGCCUAGGAAACUCCAUAUGCCAUGGGUGUGGCCCUAGAAAGAAAAAAGAAAAAAAAGAAACAACCCCAUUUAUCAUUGCAUCAAAAAGAAUAAAAUACCUGGGAAUAAACAUACCUAAGGAAGCAAAUGAUCUAUACUCUGAAAACUAUAAGAUACUGAAGAAAGAAAUAGAAAAUGACACAGAUAGAAAGACACUAUGUUUUGGAUUGGAAGAAUCAAUAUUAUCAAAAUGACUAUACUAUCCCAGGCAAUCUACAGAUUGAGUGCAAUCCCUAUCAAAUUACCAAUGGUACUCUUCACAGAACUACAGUAAAAUAUUUUCAAAAUUGUAUGGAAACACAAAAGACCCCAAAUAGCCAAAGUAAUUCUGAGAAAGGAAAACGGAGGUGGGUAUGUGUGGGUGGUGAAUCAGGCUCCCUGUCCUCAGACUAAACUACAAAGCUAUAGUAAUCAAAACAAUAUAGUACUGGCACAAAAGCAAAUAUAGAUCAAUGGAGCAGGAUGGAAAGCCCAGAAAUAAACCCAUGCACAUGUGGUCAAUUAAUCUAUGGCAGAGGAGGCAAGAAUGUACAGUGGAUAAAAGACAGUUCCUUCAAUAAGUGGUGCUGGGAAAACUGGACAGCUCCAUGAAGGAAUGAAAUUAUAACAUUCUCUAAUACCAUACACAAAAAUAAACUCAAAAUGGAUUAAAGACCUAAAUGUAAGACAAGAUACUAUAAAACUCUCAGAAGAAAACAUAGGCAGAACACUCUCUGACAUAAAUUGCUCCAAUACCUUUUUGGAUACACCUCUUAGAGUAAUGAAAAUAAAAACAAAAAUAAACAAAUGGGGCCUAAUUAAAAGCUUGUUUUAAGGAAAGGAAAAGGAAACCAUAAGCAAAAUGAAACAACAAUUCACAGAAUGGGAGAAAAUAUUUGCAAGUGAACUUACUGACAAGGGAUUAACCUCUAAAAUGUACAAACGACUCAUGAAGCUCAAUAUCAAAAAUCUCCGAACAUCCCAAUAAAAAAAUGAGCAGAUAUAAAUAGACAUUUUUUCAAAGAAGACAUAUAGGUAGCCAAAAAGCACAUGAAAAGAUGCUCAACAUUGGUAAUUAUUAGAGAAAUGCAAAUCAAAACUACAAAGAGGUAUCACCCCAUACUGGUCAGAAUGGCCAUCAUCAAAAAGUCUACAAACAAUAAAUGCUGGAGAGGGUGUGGAGAAAGUGGACCCUACAUUGUCAGUGGGAAUGUAAAUUUUGCACAGUCACUAUGGAAAACAGUAUGGAUGUUCCUCAGAAAACUAGAAAUAGAACUACCAUAUAAUUCAGCAGUCCCACUCCUGAGCAUCUAUCCAGGGAAAACCAUAAUUUGAAAAGAUACAUGUACCCCAAUGUUCACUGAAGCACUAUUUACAAAAGGCAAAAUGUGGAAGCAAACUAAAUGUCUAUUGACAGAGGAAUGGAUUGAGAAGAUGUGGUAUACACACACAUACACACACACACACACUGGAAUAUUACUCAGCCAUAAAAAGAAUGAAAUAAUGCCAUUUGCAGCAACCAUGGAUUGACCUAGAGAUUAUCACACUGAGUGAAAUAAGCCAGACAAGGAUACAUAUACUAUCACUUAUAUGUGGAAUCUAAGAAAAAUGAUACAAAUGAACUUAUUUACAAAACAGAAACAGACUCACAGACUUUGAAAACAAAUUUAUGGUUACCAAAUGGGACAGGUGGGGCAGAGGGAUGGAUUGGGAGUUUGGGACUGGCAUAUGCUCACUAUCAUAUAUGGAAUGGAAGGUCAAUGGGGACCUGCUGUAUAGCAGAGGGAAUUCAACUCACUAUUCUGUGAUGACCUAUAAAGAAAAAGAAUCUGAAAAACAGUGGAUAUGUGUAUGUGUAUAACUGAAUUGCUUUGCUGUACAGCAGAAAUUAAUGCAAUAUUGUUAAUCAACUAUACUUCAGUAAAAUUUUGAAAAAACACACAAAAAAGCACUAUUGAGGUGCAGUUGGCAUACAACAAACUAGGAACCUUGACCUCUGGUCAAGGCGGAGUAAAGGGAGUAGAGUCGGGACUCUGGAAGGUCUUCUACAGCCUCACCUGUUAGAGAAGAUGCAGUGGUUUCCCAACUGAUGCCUCUCCAGGCCCAGAACGUCACCCUGAUUAGAGAAAGCGGCACCAUGUUUUCUAAUUAUCCCUACAAUUCUGACAAGGCCAUUGUUCCUUAAGUCUAAAGGGAUUUGAAUUCCUUCUAAUCAGGCUGGGCUCAUGUCACACAGCGCUGGCUUUCAGAUUUCCCAUUAUUGGAAGUGCAUUAACAUUUCCCAAAGGUCUUAAUGGGGCUAAGAGGGGCCAGCAAUAGGGAGAGAAGAAACACAGAGAGGGCGAUGGGAACAUAAAAAUAAGAACUAAGUCUUGGGCAUCCUGGCUCUUUUUGUAAAGGAGCAGGUUUUGUCCAAUUCUUGCACGGUUCCCAAGAGAUCCAAAAAGACAGAGGCGCAUGAGAUGAACCAAACAGUGGCAACACCCAAAGCCCAUCUGUGAAGGUGGGAUAAAGCAGAUUAAUCCUAUACUUAGUUUACAAGUAAAGCCUUCCAGCUAAUUCUAGAUUAUCAACCAUGUAAUCAAUCACUCUGUGCCCCCUGAAAAUCACGUUAUAAAAAAAUAACUAAUGAUGCAACAAAAGUCCCCACAAGACCAGCUUCUCAUCCUCUGCACUACUGGCAUUUGGGGCCACAGUGUUCUUUGCGGGGGGUGGGGGGGUGGGGGGGGGGGCUGUCCUGUGUGUGUAGGAUGUUUACUAGCAUCUCUGGUCUCUAUUCAUUUGAGGUCAGUAGCACCCCACCUCUAGUUAUGAUCACAAAAAAUGUCUCCAGACAAUGUGGAAUGUCCCCUGGGGGUCAAAAUUAUUCGUUUUUAAUUGUAAAACAUUGUCCCAUUUUUUUUUAAGUAAUUAAAGACUAUUGUCCUAGAUUGUUAUGUGUCUGUUACCCGCCAAGCCCUGGGUUAAGGACCUUACAGACAAGAUAUUGUUCAUCUGCUGCUAUGGAUUAUAAGGGCUUUUUAGUUUCUUCUCAUAUUAUGGGAAACACAUAAAGCUACAGCAUCGUCUGAUUUCUCUAGUUAAUUGGCCGUUGUCCCUCUACCUCCCACUCCACCCAAUAGUAAAAAGGGGGCAGAAUCUGGCAGGGAGAGGAGCUGAGAUUCCUGACCCUGUCAUUUCCAAAUCAGGAGUGUGCCUUCGGAAUCCUUCUCACCCUGUUGGAGCCUCAUUUCUAAAAUGAAGAUAAUGAUGCCUGCCUUACAAGGCUGUGAAGCUCAGAAACAACCAAUUUGGGAGGAGAGAACAUGGCUGCUUUGCUUUCCACUGUCCUGUCAGGGCCUGGCUGCUGGGCCUGGUUCAGAGUAGAUGAUCACAAAUGCUCCUGGAAUGAAUAGACUGAUGACAAGAAAUGGCAGCCUCUGCCACAGGCCCUGGCACCCGUGUGUCUGAUAAACACUGCCUGGCUGUGCCUGCAAUGCCUACAGGCAAAGGGCAGAGGCAGCAGCAGGCAUCCAGAGGCUGUAGAGAGCAGGACUUAAACCAGAACUGCCUCUGCUCUUGCAGAGUUUGUGAUCCAGGAGGAUGGCAAUGACAAUGAACAAGAAUUGCAAAUACUAAUAAAUUACAAGUGUGAAAAUUACUGCAAAGCGGAGGUUCAGAGUCACUCACAGCUCACAUUCACCCAGAUACACUAAUGGGAUCGUGGUUAACUAAGGAGCUGGGCUCUGGGAAGAUUUUAGGGAGGUUUCCAUUGCUUUUUAAGCUUAAAAAGUGAAAUUUAGUAGAAGAAAACAAUUCCAUUGAGCUUUUAAAUCCUUAAUAGGAGUUAAAAGUAAGGCAAAGAAAAUAAUCUGUUUUGUUUCAUCAAUAAGUGCUCUCUUUUAUUAAUGUCAUUGUCCUUUAAGAUUGGGAUUAAGGUUUGUCUGCCUUUGGAAAAGGUCACCUUUGCCCAAAGACUAAUGGAUGUCGGGAGUAAGGCAGACGCAGGCAUUAGGAAUGCCAUUAGGAGCCUGGGCUCUGUGAAGCUGUGUCCAAAUCCCACUUCUGCCAUGUCCCUGCUGUCACCCUCUCUACCCUGCCAAGCCUCAGUUUCCUUGUGUGUAAAGUGGAGAUGGUACUGCCGCACAAAGUUUUGUUGAGGAUUAAGAGAGCUAUGGUGUGUAUGGAGAGCACCUGGCUCCCAUGUAACACGAGGAGGGGUCAGUUGAUGAUAACCCCCUCCCCUCUUCCCUUUUCUUCAAGGUGGCCUGAGUCAGGCUGGGAGCUCUUGGAGGGGACAGCGUGGGAGCUCCUUCCCUGAGUGCCCCUUGGUUGUUUGUUGCCUAUUUGCUGGCAGACCUUCUCCUUUCCAGUGGCUGCUCUGCUCCACUGGAAACUACAUUACCCAGGAUUCCUGGCAGCAGGCUUCAGGCUAAUUUCUAUCUGUAGGAGCACUGAUGGGAGAUUGGAAGGUGGGAAGAAAGGAGAAGCCAGGGUGUUUCUCCAUCUCUUCUUCCCUCUUCUGUUUUGAGGGUGGGUUUGUUUGUUUGUUUUGUCUCCUGUGAUGGUCCAGCCCUGCCUGGCAGCUGGCUUCUUAUAAGCACCUUCCUCCUGAUCCCUCUAUCCCUCUGGGUGGUACCAGCAGCAUCCUGCUGUUGCCCAGCUCCCAGCUGCUUCACGUCUCCUCCUAGGCUUCUCAGCUCUCCCAUCUUCUGGGUAAGCAAUUCCCUGUACCGAAUCCCCUCCAUGAGAGAUGCCUAGCAUGGCUGUUUCCCUGAUAGGAGCAGACACACCCAGAUGUGUCUGCAGCCUCUGACCAUGGCAGGAGCUUGCUAAUCUCUUCCUGGCUGAAUGCAUUUUCUGUUAAAAUAGCCCCAAAAAGGUGGAAUUUGAUCACCUUUUUCAGGCCUUCUCCUUGGUCCCCCUUCACUUUCCACAACUUUAGCAAACCAGAAGCAUGAGGAGCAACUGAAGUGAGAGCCAGCCCCUAAAAAAAUCUGUGACCAAAUCUUGAAAGUUCUGUCUAGUUCAUUUCUAUUUCAUUUUCUUAAGCCCUG